GUGGAGGGUGUUGAAGAGAAUAAUAAGGUUCCUGCUGUGCCAGAAAGCUUUAAGGAAAAGGGAAGAAAUUUCACAGAACUGAAGAUCAAGCGCCUGAGAAAAGUUUCCCAAAAGAUGCUUCUAAAGGCAAGGAGGAAGCUUAUAUAUGAAAAAGCUAAGCACUAUCACAAGUAAUAUAGGCAGAUGUACAGAACUGAGAUUUGAAUGGCUAGGAUGGCAAGAAAAGCUGGCAAUGUCUACCAACCUGCAGAACCCAAAUUGACACUUGUCAUUAGGAUCAGAGGUGUCAAUGGUGUGAGCCCAAAGAUCCAAAAGGUGUUGCAGUUUCUUCACCUUUGUCGGAUCUUCAAUUGAAACUUUGUUAAGUUCAACAGGGCUUCAAUUAACAUGCUGAAGACUGUAGAACCAUAUAUUGCAUAGGGGUACCCAAACCUGAAGUCAGUAAAUAAACUAAUCUACAAGUGUGGUUAUGGCAAAAUCACUAAGAAGCAAAUUGCCUUGACAAAUAACACUUUGAUUGCUCGGUCUCUUGGUAAAUAUAGCAUCAUCUGCACAGCAAAUCUGAUUCAUGAGAUCUAUACUCUCAGAAAAUGCUUCAAAGAAGCAAAUUGCUUCUUUUGGUCCUUCAAAUUAUUCUCUCUAUGAGGUGGAAUGAAGAAAAAGACCAUCCAUUUUGUAGAAAGUGGAGAUGACCAACAGGAAAGAGCAGAGCAACAGGCCUAUCAGAUGGAUGAACUAA
RNAcentral lists this long non-coding RNA (739 nucleotides) under Homo sapiens (human). RNAcentral describes it as "non-protein coding lnc-CHIC1-5:1". The record is from RNAcentral. Lineage: Eukaryota; Metazoa; Chordata; Mammalia; Primates; Hominidae.